AUUGAACGCUGGCGGCAGGCCUAACACAUGCAAGUCGAGCGGAUGAUGGAAGCUUGCUUCCUGAUUUAGCGGCGGACGGGUGAGUAAUGCCUAGGAAUCUGCCUGUUAGUGGGGGAUAACCCAGGGAAACUUGGGCUAAUACCGCAUGUGCCCUUCGGGGUGAAAGACUUCGGUUGCCAGAGGAUCGGCCUGCGGCCCAUUAUUUAAUCCUAGUUGGUAGGGUAACGGCCUACCAAGGGUACGAUGGGUAGCUGGUCUGAGAGGAUGAUCAGCCACACUGGGACUGAGACACGGCCCAGACUCCUACGGGAGGCAGCAGUGGGGAAUAUUGGACAAUGGGCGAAAGCCUGAUCCAGCCACGCCGCGUGAGUGAUGAGGGCCUUCGGGUUGUAAAGCUCUGUCGGGAGGGACGAAGUACUGACGGUACCUCCCAAGAAAGCGCCGGCUAACUCCGUG
This 456-nucleotide ribosomal RNA is filed under the name uncultured bacterium. RNAcentral describes it as "bacterial SSU rRNA". It matches the Rfam family "Bacterial small subunit ribosomal RNA", at positions 30 to 507 of the family's 1533-position model. The record is from RNAcentral.